UACGUAGGGUGCGAGCGUUAAUCGGAAUUACUGGGCGUAAAGCGUGCGCAGGCGGUUUUGUAAGCCAGAUGUGAAAUCCCCGGGCUCAACCUGGGAAUGGCAUUUGGGACUGCAAGGCUGGAGUGUGGCAGAGGAGACUGGAAUUCCAGGUGUAGCGGUGAAAUGCGUAGAUAUCUGGAGGAACACCGGUGGCGAAGGCGGCAUCCUGGACCGACACUGACACUGAGGAGCGAAAGCCAGGGGAGCAAACGGG
Molecule: ribosomal RNA, 253 nt
Filed under: uncultured bacterium
Lineage: Bacteria
Description: partial 16S ribosomal RNA
Rfam family: Bacterial small subunit ribosomal RNA
Source: RNAcentral